This 46-nucleotide non-coding RNA is filed under the name Schistosoma margrebowiei. Lineage: Eukaryota; Metazoa; Platyhelminthes; Trematoda; Strigeidida; Schistosomatidae. The record is from RNAcentral.
AUCCAGCUGACGAGUCCCAAAUAAGACGAAACCACCGUUCAGUGAU